Molecule: ribosomal RNA, 492 nt
Filed under: uncultured bacterium
Lineage: Bacteria
Description: partial 16S ribosomal RNA
Rfam family: Bacterial small subunit ribosomal RNA
Source: RNAcentral
AGUGAACGCUGGCGGUAGGCCUAACACAUGCAAGUCGAACGGCAGCACAGUAAGAGCUUGCUCUUACGGGUGGCGAGUGGCGGACGGGUGAGGAAUACAUCGGAAUCUACUUUUUCGUGGGGGAUAACGUAGGGAAACUUACGCUAAUACCGCAUACGACCUACGGGUGAAAGCAGGGGAUCUUCGGACCUUGCGCGAUUGAAUGAGCCGAUGUCGGAUUAGCUAGUUGGCGGGGUAAAGGCCCACCAAGGCGCCGAUCCGUAGCUGGUGUGAGAGGAUGAUCAGCCACACUGGAAGUGAGACACGGUCCAGACUCCUACGGGAGGCAGCGGUGGGGAAUAUUGGACAAUGGGCGGAAGCCUGAUCCAGCCAUACCGCGUGGGUGAAGAAGGCCUUCGGGUUGUAAAGCCCUUUUGUUGGGAAAGAAAAGCAGCAGGUUAAUACCCCGCUGUUCUGACGGUACCCAAAGAAUAGGCACCGGCUAACUUCGUG